UAAUAUUUUUUGUACAGUUUGUGAAGUUCUUCGGAAUCCUUCAUUAUAAAAGUGUAAUAUAAAUGUAAAUUCUGGGCAGUCUAACCAAGAAAAACGGUCUAUGACAACUGCAGACUCCCGUAACAGAUUUCCUAAAGGUGACAUGCAAAGACAAGAGGGAUUUUAUGUUGUUCUUGGGAUUAUUAAACCAGCCUCAAGCCAGGGUGAAGAUGUGAACUACACUUCCUCACAGUAGGCUCCAAUACCACCAGUGUCAAAUGGCACUUUUCAGCAACACAGCUCAGCAGCAGACCACUAAAAAUAGCUUCCAGUUUGAAGAUCUGCAUCCAGGCCAGGAGUUUAGUGGCAGGGUAACAAUGCGAGACAGAGGAACGGAGUUCAAAUCCUUUUACCUUUACCAGGACUGGCUGUGCUACAGGAGUAAAGAAAGGAACAUUUCUUAUUUCUCUUUCUCCAUUAAUUUGCGCUAAUAUAAGACUGCAGUAGGACCUUUUCCCUUAUAAUUAUCUGUGAGGCCUCUGAGUUACUAAAAUAAAUCUAUAUUGUAUCAACUGUU
This is a non-coding RNA of Caretta caretta (loggerhead turtle), 556 nucleotides long. NCBI's taxonomy places the organism in Eukaryota, Metazoa, Chordata, Testudines, Cheloniidae. The record is from RefSeq and is a predicted model, not a curated record.